UGUUUGGUUACCCAGUGGGAAAGGGGAAACGCACGUCUGUCUUCCUCAAAAGCGCUUUGACGUUGUUUGGCUCUCCUUCACUCUUCCUCCGUCGCCGCAAGUUUGCAUCAUCAUAAUCGAUUUUCAAUGAAGCUGCAAUUCCUAGCUUCUAAAAAUCAAUUUUCACAACCGUAGAUCAAAAUCAAUCGGUUAACCUACCUCAAAACUUCUUUAUAUAUGUUGCCUCAUCUCUCGCCCUUUUCAUUCUCUCAAACACGCAAGAAAAGGAAAUUAAGCAAAGUUCCAAAUAGCAGCACUGUUGGAUAGCUCAAGCUUCAGGUGCUGUUCCUGGCCUGCUAACCUGCUACGGCUGGGGGUAGUUUUUUGGCCAAGGGUCUGGUUGGUUUUUGUUGUCUCUGUAGUUGCUUUCUAGACUUUCUAGGCUUUUUUUAUGUUAACUGGACUGCCUCUUCCUUCUGGUGUUUCGGUUUGCAGACAUCAGUUGGGCAAACAUGUUUAAGGUGCACUCAAGUUUCAAUAUUUCAUCGUCUUCAAUAAUGAUGUAUUCAAUUAUUAUCACUCAAGUUUAAGGUGCCCAAUAGAAAGAACUUUUGGUGUAUGGAAGAAUAGAUUUGCAAUUCUACGACGCAUGCCUAAAUUCACAAUUAUGACACAGGUUCAAGUGGUUAUUGCAACAAUGGACACAACUUUAUUAGAAGGAAUGCUGAUAUGGAUGUUGAUUUCAGUCGGUAUGAGGAUGAAGACAUAACCCUUGAUCUCGAUGAUUAUCGUAGACCAGUUAAUUUGGAUUUAUCUCAAAAUUUAAAUAUAGCUUCUUCAUCUAAGAUGAAUCAUGUUCGAGACUCGGUUCGAGAUCAAAUUAUAGAGUUCAGGAAAAAUAAUUAGUACUGUAUUAAUGUUUCAAACUUGUACUA
Medicago truncatula (barrel medic) is the source of this 914-nucleotide long non-coding RNA. RefSeq lists it as uncharacterized. The record is from RefSeq and is a predicted model, not a curated record. Lineage: Eukaryota; Viridiplantae; Streptophyta; Magnoliopsida; Fabales; Fabaceae. The transcript has 3 exons.